This 3302-nucleotide long non-coding RNA is filed under the name Nicotiana tabacum (common tobacco). RNAcentral's name for it is "long non-coding RNA (NTAB_LNC012707)". The record is from RNAcentral. Lineage: Eukaryota; Viridiplantae; Streptophyta; Magnoliopsida; Solanales; Solanaceae.
GGAAGUCAAUUAAACCUUCUAAUACCAUAAUUCCUACAAAUCCAUAUACAUUCAAACCAUGCUUCAAUAACUUCAUAUCCCCAAACUACCGGAUUGGAACAAGUGUUAAAGUUUACAUAUCAAGUUUAAUCUAGUAACAUUGUAUCUAAUAAUACAAAGUGAGCAGAUCAUACAUGAGGAAGAACAAACUUAUAAUACAUAUUUGGAUGAAUUCAAACUACAAAAAGAUGAAACUAAUCAAAUGUAUAAGCCCAAAGCUUCCAACUCAAACAACAACAACAAAUCUUUCAUUUCACCAUGCCAAAUGAGGUUCAGUAGAUACCUGGUUACAACAAAUAAACAAGGAAAAUUCUAAGGUUAAGAAGGAGCAACAACAAUAAACAACAAUGUAACAGUGCAGAAAAUCAGCAGCUCAACAAAACUUUAAACCCCAAACUCAAAUAUUUUUCUCAACCAGCAAUAAAAUCAUAACCACAGCUUCUUCAAUCCAGUAGAGAAAACCAAUGGAUAACAGACUUUAGAGUCUCAGAACACUUUCAUCAACAUUAUGAAAUUCCAAAGCAAAAUUAAACCAAUUUGAAACAAAGAAAUGCAAGAAUUUUAGUGUCUUCUUCAAAGUUUUCCAAAAACUAGCCGUUUCCCUUUUUUAGUCUUCUUAGUCUCUAAAAUCUCACUUGUGAAUAAGAAAGAAUGCCUUUAUAGGCAAGCCUUAGGGCAGCAAUAUUGAAAUCAGUUUUUGCACUUUUAUCCUUUUGAAAUUUUUAUUUUUGCUGUUUAAUCCUUAGUUUAAAAAUUAGGUUUUUACAUAAGUCUCAAUCCCCACCUUCUAGGCAGCUUCCAAUUCAGUUACAAGAGAUUCUUUCACCUAGAAUUCCUAGAUUACCCCUUAAAGCCCUGCUAUUUACUUCAGAAAUCUCAUGGGUCAAAUUGACCCAAUAACCUAAACCAACCCCUUGAAGUGGGGUCUAAAAUGGCUUCAAAGCCCAAACAACAAAAUGAACCAAACCAAAUUAGUAAUCUAUGACAAACAGAAGAAAACACUUAAAUGAUUUCAAAAACUUAAACCUAAACUAAUUGACUGGUUAAUUAACACAAAUAGGCAGGGAAUUAACUAAGUUAUUAAAUCAAUAUGACCUAAUUAAACUAUGUGACUAAAACAAAGGCGAAAUCAGAAGUUAAAACAUGCCAUUAACAAAAACUAAACAGACCAAGAAAAUCAGAGAACAAGCUUUUAAUAUUUGAAAAAGAAAUCUGAACACAAAAUUAAUCUAAGGGGAACUUAGGUUCAGGACCUUGCUCAAACUUCAUUCAAAGUAAUAAGAGAACUAAUUAGAGAAAGGGAGAGGAAAAGAAAAGGAAUAAGAUGGUGAAACAAAAGAAGGGACAAAGAAAUGAAGGAAACUUACCAAAUCAAAAAUCAACACCCACUGGAGAUAAUGAUUUGACGAAACUAAUGUUAAUCAUUUGUCCUUCAUUAAGAACAACUGAACAACAUCAGUUUGCAUCGAAUCAACACUUCAAAACUCGAAAAAUAGAGGCCUAUGGUCAUGCAUGCCACCGGGUUCAGCAGAAAUUGACUUUGAACUUUUAAGAUUCGAACUUAGAUUUAAGAUUCGAGAGGUUUUGGCAAGAUUCGAAGGAAAAAGAGUGAGGAUUCGGAAUGGGGAGGUGAAUGGGAGUCUGUGGUGUAGAUUUGGGGGUGAUUGGAGGGUGGCGUCGCCGGCUUGAUGCGGUGGAAAAUUGGUGUCACGACCCCAAGCCGGACCCGAUCGUGAUGACACCUCUCGUGAAGACAAGGCCAGCCGACACAAUUACCAAAUUCAUUUUUAACAAUUUAAUAAGUCAAUUUGAGUCAUUUAUAAGAAUAAAUCCCCAACAAGUAUAAAUUUAGCGAAAUAGAACAAGUGCGAGAAUAGAUACAGCCCGAUAUAGGGGUGUCACAAGUCACGAACAUCUACUAAGAUUUGAAUACAAUGAAGAGUCUGAAAAUAAACUAAAAACAAUCUAGGGAAGACAAGAGAGAGAAGAGCAGGGUUGCGAACAUCGGGCAUCUACCUUGCUAACUCCGAUGACUCUGCCAUUGAGCAAUCAACACCCGUUACCGGAUUUAGAAAUACCUGAAUCUACACACAAGGUGCAUGGAGUAAUGUGAGUACGCCAACUCAAUAAGUAAUAAAAGUAAAUGAAAGCUGAGCAGUAAGAAACCAUAUAAUUUCACGUCAUAGCACUACAACAAAUACCGUAUAUUUCUCAAAAAUAGUACAGAAACCAUUUACUUCAUAAAUCAAGCUCAGUUUCAGUAAAACCUUUUAAAACAACUUUUAAUAGUUUCAAAUGAGUGAUAAACAGUGAGUAAAAAUGAUAGAAAUGUAAACAACCCCUCGGGUAAAACAUGUACCAUAAACCGCCCCUCAGUCAUAAUAUCAACAGAACCAGGCCCUUAAGCUACCUCACAAUCACACGUAAUCAGACCCUCGGGCAUAACAUGAAUCAAGAACCGCCCCUCGGGCAAAACAUGGAUUAAGAACAGCCCUUCGGGCAACAAUAUGAAACAACAACAGCCCCUCGGGCUACAUCAUAUCACUCACACUAGGUACCCGCGCUCACUAAGGGUGUACAGACUCCUAGAGGGUCCCCUUACGGCCCAAGCGCAAUAACAAGCCAUCUCAUGGCAUAAUCAAAUAAGUUCUCGGCCUCAUAUCAACAAGCCACCUCAUGGCAUAACAAAUCAGGCCCUCGACCUCAAAAGCAUGAAUCAGUAUAACACUGUUGCGGCGCGCAGUCCGAUCCUAUAGUAUCCUCACAACACAAGCCCUCGACCUCACUCAGUCAGAAAUCUCUCAUGCCACUCGGGCAAUUGUAAAACAUGAUGCUCAUCCCAAAAUAUUAUUUAAAAUAUCAAAACGAAUUAAAUAUGGCUGAGUUAUGAAAAUAGUAGAAUACAGUGAGGAAUAGUCGUAAAAAUCCCCUAAGGGUCCAAAAUAGUUGGCACUAGUCACAAAUAUAGCAUUCAGCCCAAAACAUGAUAAUACUUUCCAAAACACAAUGAUAUCAAACAAUUUUCAAUCAAAUACGCGGUUUAACAGUCAUACGGGACGGACUAAGUCACAAUCCCCAAUGAUGCACGACCCCACGCUCAUCAUCUAGCAUGUGUGUCACCUCAAAGUAGCACAACGAUGUGAAAUCCGGGUUUUCAUACCCUCAAGACAACAUUUACAAUCAUUACUUACCUCGAACUAGCCCGAAAAGCUACUCUGCAACACACUUGCCUAUCGACCCAACUUCCGAGUGCUCCAAAUCUA